GGGUUAUGGCUCAGUGGUAGAGUACUUGCCUAGCACGUGUGAAGCACUGGGUUUGAUCUUCAGCAGCACAUAAAAAUAAGUAAAAUAAAGAUCUUGUGUCCAUCUACAACUAAAAAAUAAAAAAUAAAAAUAAAUACAAAAAAAUAGGGCUGGGAAUGUGGCUCAGUAGUCAAGUGCCCCUGAGUCCAAUCCCUGGUACCCA
RNAcentral lists this transfer RNA (202 nucleotides) under Marmota monax (woodchuck). Its description in RNAcentral is "tRNA.Ala". Lineage: Eukaryota; Metazoa; Chordata; Mammalia; Rodentia; Sciuridae. The record is from RNAcentral.